Molecule: long non-coding RNA, 307 nt
Organism: Drosophila teissieri
Lineage: Eukaryota; Metazoa; Arthropoda; Insecta; Diptera; Drosophilidae
Exons: 2
Source: RefSeq, a predicted model, not a curated record
GAAUAUUAUACCUUAUAAUGUAAUAUUUUCCGGAACUAAUUAUGUUCAUCUAUAAAUACCGAAGAACGGCACUGAGUUACUAAAGCAGAUCUUUAGACUUAAUCAUUAUGCCCAUUCUCGCGUUUUUAAUUCUUUUUGUGCUUUUACCAUCGGAACGCACCAACGGAAAAUGUCCUCCAACAAGACCAAAAUGCCGUGAUUGAGGUUAAAAGAGAAGUACGAAUUGGGUCUUGCCGAUCAGUUGUAGUACAUUUCCUAUCGUUGAAUUCGGUAUGAUUAUCUAAUAAAUAUUCCACUCGCUUCAAAA